This 498-nucleotide ribosomal RNA is filed under the name uncultured bacterium. Its description in RNAcentral is "partial 16S ribosomal RNA". It matches the Rfam family "Bacterial small subunit ribosomal RNA", at positions 28 to 507 of the family's 1533-position model. The record is from RNAcentral.
GACGAACGCUGGCGGCGUGCCUAAUACAUGCAAGUCGAACGAGAGCGCCCGGUGCUUGCCCUGGUCAAUCUAGUGGCGAACGGGUGAGUAACACGUGGGUAACCUGCCCAUCAGAGGGGGAUAACAUCCGGAAACGGAUGCUAAAACCGCAUAGGUCUUCGAACCGCAUGGUUUGAAGAGGAAAAGAGGCGCAAGCUUCUGCUGAUGGAUGGACCCGCGGUGCAUUAGCUAGUUGGUGAGGUAACGGCUCGCCAAGGCCGUGAUGCAUAGCCGACCUGAGAGGGUGAUCGGCCACAUUGGGACUGAGACACGGCCCAAACUCCUACGGGAGGCAGCAGUAGGGAAUCUUCCGCAAUGGACGCAAGUCUGACGGAGCAACGCCGCGUGAGUGAAGAAGGUGUUCGGAUCGUAAAACUCUGUUGUUAGAGAAGAACAAGUGCUAGAGUAACUGUUAGCGCCUUGACGGUAGCUAACCAGAAAGCCACGGCUAACUACGUG